RNAcentral lists this ribosomal RNA (266 nucleotides) under uncultured bacterium. RNAcentral's name for it is "partial 16S ribosomal RNA". It matches the Rfam family "Bacterial small subunit ribosomal RNA", at positions 793 to 1055 of the family's 1533-position model. The record is from RNAcentral.
GUCCACGCCGUAAACGAUGAGUGCUAGAUGCUGUGGGUAUUGACCCCCGCGGUGUCGCAGCCAACGCGUUAAGCACUCCGCCUGGGGAGUACGGCCGCAAGGCUAAAACUCAAAGGAAUUGACGGGGGCCCCGCACAAGCGGUGGAGCAUGUGGUUCAAUUCGACGCAACGCGCAGAACCUUACCUGGGUUAAAUCCACUCGAACCUGGCAGAGAUGCUGGGAUGCCCUUCGGGGAGCGAGUGAGAAGGUGCUGCAUGGCUGUCGU